GAAGGUAUAGCUCAAGUGGUAGAGUGCAUGCUUGGCAUACAGGAGAUCCUGGGUUCAAUCCCCAGUGCCUCCA
RNAcentral lists this transfer RNA (73 nucleotides) under Camelus bactrianus (Bactrian camel). It matches the Rfam family "tRNA". Rfam says of the family: Transfer RNA (tRNA) molecules are approximately 80 nucleotides in length. Their secondary structure includes four short double-helical elements and three loops (D, anti-codon, and T loops). The record is from Rfam by way of RNAcentral. Lineage: Eukaryota; Metazoa; Chordata; Mammalia; Artiodactyla; Camelidae. RNAcentral also lists the same sequence under 3 other names.